Neogale vison (American mink) is the source of this 58-nucleotide microRNA precursor. The record is from Ensembl. Lineage: Eukaryota; Metazoa; Chordata; Mammalia; Carnivora; Mustelidae.
GGAUAUCAUCAUAUACUGUAAGUUUGCAAUGAGAUACUACAGUAUAGAUGAUGUACUA